AAUUACAUUGGUAUGAAUCUGGGGAUUUUGGAGCUACUUUUAAAUGCAAUUUUGUAGGAUAUUGAGCCAUAAGACCUAGUGAGAGUCCUGAGUUUGCAGCUUUCUAGAAAUUAAGAUGGCAAGAUUUGGCAAAAUGGAAGCCAACUGAAAUUUUGAUAGGCCUACACAUUUUUGAAUACCUCAUAGAGAGAUGCAGUAUUCACAUUGUGUAUAAUAAUGCAGUCAGAAGGCAGCAGAAUUUGGUUUUUCUGCAUUCACAUAUGCCAGUCUGAACAACAGGCAUUAAGAAAAUAAGAGAAUAUUCAUCCUUUUCUGUCCUUUGUAAGUGACACAGGACAUUGAGAAUCACUGAUUCUUUUUCUGACUUUACCUCAGGGCUGGGCAUACACUCAAUUUAUGGUCCUUUUGCUCAGGCUCAUCCUGCACAGUUUCUAGCAUUUGGAAAAUGUUUCUCAUGGCAACAUCUACUAUCUGUGACUGCUGUUGGAGGGUGAGGAGCGAAAAAGGGAAGACACUGAUCGCCAUCUGUGGUUAACGUUAGUCUGUGUAGAAAGUACUCAGUAUUCUGCAUGGUUACCUACAGGACUUGUGAGCACCACUGCAUACCAGAAAGUGCGUUUUCUCUCAGGCUUUCUCCAAAGACAAAAGCUUUGGAACACCAGGCCUAAAGAAGCCAUCUGUCCUGAAUGUAAGGCCCAACAAGUGUCUUGAACAACACAUGAAAAACACUUGGGACAGAGUACCGACCUGACCCACAGAACUGUGAGUAAAAAUAAAUGCUUAUUGUUCUAUGCUACUGAUAUCGCUGAGUUUGUUAUAUGACCUUGUUGUGGCAGUAGUUGACUGGUACUAUUAUGUAAACAAAUGAUCUAUAUACACUUGUAU
RNAcentral lists this long non-coding RNA (885 nucleotides) under Ailuropoda melanoleuca (giant panda). RNAcentral describes it as "lncRNA (ENSAMEG00000023688.1)". The record is from RNAcentral. Lineage: Eukaryota; Metazoa; Chordata; Mammalia; Carnivora; Ursidae.